GCCAUGACGACACUUCUUUACUGAUAUCGCCAUUGUUGUGAUAAUCAUAUUGCUGUCAUCUUACUACCAUUUUGCUGCUGUUUGCCUGGUAUUUAGCCCUCCUUCGUCUGUGUACACGAUGAACUCCUACGCCCAAGCUGUUGACCUCGUGAUCAGGUUCCCCUUGAACUUUGACAUCUGGGCCCCUCCUCGUCAAGUUGACGAUCUGAAGGUUGCCUCUCCGCUCGCUAGUGAUGUCUCACUGAGCAGCCUUCGUCUCCAUCUGUAUCGCGCCUGUUAUAAACAAGUAUCAGUGAAACGUAAUAAAAUUCUUCUGUGAAUGUUAA
Molecule: long non-coding RNA, 326 nt
Organism: Haliotis rufescens (red abalone)
Lineage: Eukaryota; Metazoa; Mollusca; Gastropoda; Lepetellida; Haliotidae
Exons: 3
Source: RefSeq, a predicted model, not a curated record